This 398-nucleotide ribosomal RNA is filed under the name uncultured bacterium. RNAcentral describes it as "bacterial SSU rRNA". It matches the Rfam family "Bacterial small subunit ribosomal RNA", at positions 355 to 770 of the family's 1533-position model. The record is from RNAcentral.
UGGGGAAUAUUGGACAAUGGGCGCAAGCCUGAUCCAGCAAUGCCGCGUGAGUGAUGAAGGCCUUAGGGUUGUAAAGCUCUUUUACCCGGGAUGAUAAUGACAGUACCGGGAGAAUAAGCUCCGGCUAACUCCGUGCCAGCAGCCGCGGUAAUACGGAGGGAGCUAGCGUUAUUCGGAAUUACUGGGCGUAAAGCGCACGUAGGCGGCUUUGUAAGUAAGAGGUGAAAGCCCAGAGCUCAACUCUGGAAUUGCCUUUUAGACUGCAUCGCUGGAAUCAUGGAGAGGUCAGUGGAAUUCCGAGUGUAGAGGUGAAAUUCGUAGAUAUUCGGAAGAACACCAGUGGCGAAGGCGGCUGACUGGACAUGUAUUGACGCUGAGGUGCGAAAGCGUGGGGAGCA